UACAAAUUGAGUCCUAGUGCAAACAGCC
Molecule: non-coding RNA, 28 nt
Filed under: Mus musculus (house mouse)
Lineage: Eukaryota; Metazoa; Chordata; Mammalia; Rodentia; Muridae
Source: RNAcentral